Molecule: non-coding RNA, 1152 nt
Organism: Pelobates cultripes (western spadefoot toad)
Lineage: Eukaryota; Metazoa; Chordata; Amphibia; Anura; Pelobatidae
Source: the annotation of a GenBank genome assembly
GGGGGGAGGGGGUUUGGUCGUUAGGUGAAUGCACCCAGCACAGGGUAUGUGUCAGGGGAUGGCACUUGCUUACAUACAAAUUUAAUCAUUUGCACUAUUUAUCUUUGGGGCACUUACAUGUUGGAGUCCCAGGAAUGGAUAUUGUGUAGAUAUGCAUAAUGGUCUAUAUCAGGGGUAGCCAAAGAGGCCUCUCUGCCCUAGCAGGAGUCCCAGUGAAACUUCAGUUAUCUGCUAAUGUGAAAAGGUGGUGAAGGACAAUCCUCAAUCUAUCCAUUGCAGCACGUAGAGGAAGUAAACCCAGAUCACUUCUUCCCAGCACUUGUGAAUGGAAAUCCACACUGGAGUAGAGCAGGUUGCAGCUGCUGUUUGUGCCUGGUCCCCAAGGGAAGCCACUCACACUGCUAGAUAUACAGAGCUGCAGAAUAACUCUCCACUCAUUCAAAUAAUAUGAACAGCCAACACACACCCCCCAACAACCCCACAUGCAAUACCCCAAACAGCUCCACACAUACUACCAAUGUGCCAUUCAUCCAAACACACAAUUCCAUAAACAGCCCCCAUACAAAGCCCACAUCCAUAGGUACUUAAUACCACAAACUACUCAUGAACAUAUACAAUAUAGUAGGACAUAUACGCACAAAUACGAUCCAAAGCAACUGCAGUAUAAAUAACACAAGCACAAUACGGCAACAUGCACACCUCAAAUUAAAAAAAUAAGACCGGCACGCUACGGGACUUCACAAUCCUAUUUCGGCACAGUGCUGCUAGAAGGUUGCAUACCCCUGGUCUAUAUGGUUACUUUUUCCAACCGAUUGCAUAAACAAGAGUCAGGGUAUCUUAUUAAACUUUUAAAUUGAUCUGACAUUCAUAUUGAAGAUUUGUUUUUAUCACGUUUGGCUCACAGGCAAAUAGUUUGUGUUAGUGGGAAGUUAUAGUGGUAACCUCAUACUGUUUUGUUGUGGUAGGUUUGUCUAUCCGGGUAUUUUCCCUAAAGUGAGAAUUCUGAAUAAGAACUGGAUAAAUAACCCAUCUGGAUACAUAUUGUUUAGCGUGCCUACUCUGUCCUUCAAUUAGAAAUUCACAUUGAAUUCUCACUUUAGUGAAAAACCCUGUAUGUAUUUUAUUGCCCACCAUGGUAGAGAUAAGAGACAG